This 496-nucleotide ribosomal RNA is filed under the name uncultured bacterium. RNAcentral's name for it is "partial 16S ribosomal RNA". It matches the Rfam family "Bacterial small subunit ribosomal RNA", at positions 29 to 507 of the family's 1533-position model. The record is from RNAcentral.
AUGAACGCUGGCGGCGUGCCUAAUACAUGCAAGUCGAGCGAACAGACGAGGAGCUUGCUCCUCUGACGUUAGCGGCGGACGGGUGAGUAACACGUGGAUAACCUACCUAUAAGACUGGGAUAACUUCGGGAAACCGGAGCUAAUACCGGAUAAUAUAUUGAACCGCAUGGUUCAAUAGUGAAAGACGGUUUUGCUGUCACUUAUAGAUGGAUCCGCGCCGCCUUAGCUAGUUGGUAAGGUAACGGCUUACCAAGGCGACGAUGCGUAGCCGACCUGAGAGGGUGAUCAGCCACACUGGAACUGAGACACGGUCCAGACUCCUACGGGAGGCAGCAGUAGGGAAUCUUCCGCAAUGGGCGAAAGCUUGACGGAGCAACGCCGCGUGAGUGAUGAAGGUCUUCGGAUCGUAAAACUCUGUUAUUAGGGAAGAACAAAUGUGUAAGUAACUAUGCACGUCUUGACGGUACCUAAUCAGAAAGCCACGGCUAACUACGUG